RNAcentral lists this ribosomal RNA (430 nucleotides) under Acidobacteriota bacterium. RNAcentral's name for it is "Acidobacteria bacterium partial 16S ribosomal RNA". It matches the Rfam family "Bacterial small subunit ribosomal RNA", at positions 355 to 776 of the family's 1533-position model. The record is from RNAcentral. Lineage: Bacteria; Pseudomonadati; Acidobacteriota.
UGGGGAAUAUUGGACAAUUGGCGAAAGCCUGAUCCAGCCAUGCCGCGUGUGUGAAGAAGGCCUUUUGGUUGUAAAGCACUUUAAGCGAGGAGGAGGCUACUUGGAUUAAUACUCUAGGAUAGUUGACGUUACUCGCAGAAUAAGCACCGGCUAACUCUGUUCCAGCAGCCGCGGUAAUACAGAGGGUGCGAGCGUUAAUCGGAUUUACUGGGCGUAAAGCGUGCGUAGGCGGCUUUUUAAGUCGGAUGUGAAAUCCCUGAGCUUAACUUAGGAAUUGCAUUCGAUACUGGGAAGCUAGAGUAUGGGAGAGGAUGGUAGAAUUCCAGGGGUAGCGGUGAAAUGCGUAGAGAUCUGGAGGAAUACCGAUGGCGAAGGCAGCCAUCUGGCCUAAUACUGACGCUGAGGUACGAAAGCAUGGGGAGCAAACAGG